This 301-nucleotide ribosomal RNA is filed under the name uncultured bacterium. RNAcentral's name for it is "partial 16S ribosomal RNA". It matches the Rfam family "Bacterial small subunit ribosomal RNA", at positions 509 to 807 of the family's 1533-position model. The record is from RNAcentral.
CAGUAGCCGCGGUAAUACGAAGGGGGCUAGCGUUGUUCGGAUUUACUGAGCGUAAUGCGCACGUAGGCGGAUCGAUCAGUCAGGGGUGAAAUCCUGGAGCUCAACUCCAGAACUGCCUUUGAUACUGUCGAUCUCGAGUCCGGAAGAGGUGAGUGGAACUCCUAGUGUAGAGGUGGAAUUCGUAGAUAUUCGGAAGAACUCCAGUGGCGAAGGCGGCUCACUGGCUCAUUCUAGACGCUGAGGUGCGAAAGCGUGGGGAGCAAACAGGAUUAGAUACCCCAGUAGUCCCUGUCUCUUAUAC